RNAcentral lists this transfer RNA (24 nucleotides) under Struthiola ciliata. RNAcentral's name for it is "partial transfer RNA-Phe". The record is from RNAcentral. Lineage: Eukaryota; Viridiplantae; Streptophyta; Magnoliopsida; Malvales; Thymelaeaceae.
CGGGAUAGCUCAGCUGGUAAGCAG